This is a long non-coding RNA of Triticum urartu, 882 nucleotides long. RefSeq lists it as uncharacterized. The record is from RefSeq and is a predicted model, not a curated record. Lineage: Eukaryota; Viridiplantae; Streptophyta; Magnoliopsida; Poales; Poaceae.
CUGAUGCGUACCAUAAGUACAAUUGAUUUCCAUAAAGCAUUGGCCGCAAUUAAAGGCCCCACCCAGUUCCCCAAUUAACUCCACGGUCCAUUGAUUUCCAUAACUUUCUAUUCAUCUUCUCCACUCACAUGGAUCUCCCUUACCUAACCCAGGGCGGCUGAUCGGACUGAGGUGAGGCCACCCUCCCGGCGCAGCGGCCGCCUCUGUCGGUUCCAUCGACGGUCUCCCCUCCUUCUCCGCCCCGCAGAAGUCCUUUGGCCUCCAUCGGGCCCUGCUUCUUCGGUCGCUUCCCGCAGAUGGAAAAUAUGGAGAGGAAGUUCCAGCAUGCGGUGGUGGAUUUGUGGUUGGCUUACUCCCUCAACAUCACUUGCACCAAAGAUUGCCCCUCCGGAUCAGAAGGUGCUCCAUGUUUUUCUUCAUACAUAUCUUGGUGCUUGAUUCCCAGCCAACAACGCCAAGAGCAACGAGGUUUUACUCCUCGUGGAAUCUUCACCAUUAACUCCAAGUCUACUUUGUUUCCGGAUAUUCUCAAUAUAAAAAUUGGGGUAUGUUGUUCAAGUAAGUUUAGCUGACUGCUCGGAUUGUCAACCAUUGCUUUUUCUUUAGUUAUUCGACAGUCACUAUUUUAAUUUCCUAACUAUACACAUGUCCCCUUGUAUGUCUACUUAUAGUCCUCUCUUAACAGUUCAAGUAGCACUAUCGCUUCCUUUCAGACCCUUAUAUAGGAACUACAAGCAAAUUUUGCUGGCUCUGUUGUACAUCUUGGAGUUAAUGUAUAUUCUCUUUUAGUUAGCCGAUGCAAUGCUGUGAAGUUAUUCUAUUACCCUUCCUUGAGAAUAUGGAAAUUCAUGUUUGGUGAUCGAGUUGGGCAAGUUAUGCGCA